UGCAGUCGAGCGAACAGAUAAGGAGCUUGCUCCUUUGACGUUAGCGGCGGACGGGUGAGUAACACGUGGGUAACCUACCUAUAAGACUGGGAUAACUUCGGGAAACCGGAGCUAAUACCGGAUAAUAUUUCGAACCGCAUGGUUCGAUAGUGAAAGAUGGUUUUGCUAUCACUUAUAGAUGGACCCGCGCCGUAUUAGCUAGUUGGUAAGGUAACGGCUUACCAAGGCGACGAUACGUAGCCGACCUGAGAGGGUGAUCGGCCACACUGGAACUGAGACACGGUCCAGACUCCUACGGGAGGCAGCAGUAGGGAAUCUUCCGCAAUGGGCGAAAGCCUGACGGAGCAACGCCGCGUGAGUGAUGAAGGUCUUCGGAUCGUAAAACUCUGUUAUUAGGGAAGAACAUACGUGUAAGUAACUGUGCACGUCUUGACGGUACCUAAUCAGAAAGCCACGGCUAACUACGUGCCAGCAGCCGCGGUAAUACGUAGGUGGCAAGCGUUAUCCGGAAUUAUUGGGCGUAAAGCGCGCGUAGGCGGUUUUUUAAGUCUGAUGUGAAAGCCCACGGCUCAACCGUGGAGGGUCAUUGGAAACUGGAAAACUUGAGUGCAGAAGAGGAAAGUGGAAUUCCAUGUGUAGCGGUGAAAUGCGCAGAGAUAUGGAGGAACACCAGUGGCGAAGGCGACUUUCUGGUCUGUAACUGACGCUGAUGUGCGAAAGCGUGGGGAUCAAACAGGAUUAGAUACCCUGGUAGUCCACGCCGUACACGAUGAGUGCUAAGUGUUA
This 786-nucleotide ribosomal RNA is filed under the name Staphylococcus sp. Y13-MSE-E14. Its description in RNAcentral is "bacterial SSU rRNA". It matches the Rfam family "Bacterial small subunit ribosomal RNA", at positions 56 to 825 of the family's 1533-position model. The record is from RNAcentral. Lineage: Bacteria; Bacillati; Bacillota; Bacilli; Caryophanales; Staphylococcaceae.